GGGAAUUGGACAGAUCUGACGGAGAUUCGACCGCGUGAGCGAUGAAGGCCUUCGGGUCGUAAAGCUCUGUUGUUAGGGAAGAACAAGUACCAUAGUAACUGCUCGUACCUUGGCCGUACCUAACCAGAAAGCCACGGCUAACUACCUGCCCACAGCCGCGGUAAUACCUAAGUGGCAAGCGUUUUCCGGAAUUAUUGGGCGUAAAGCGCGCGCAAGCGGUUUCUUAAGUCUGAUGUGAAAGCCCCCCGCUCAACCGUGGAAGGUCAUUGGAAACUGGGGAACUUGAGUGCAAAAAAAGAAAGCGGAAUUCCCCGUGUAGCGGUGAAAUGCCUAAAGAUGUGGAAGAACCCCCGUGGCCAAAGCCGCUUUUUGGUCUGUAACUGAAGCUGAAGCGCCAAAGCGUGGGGAGCCAACAGGAUUAAAUACCCUGGUAGUCCACGCCCUAAAC
RNAcentral lists this ribosomal RNA (448 nucleotides) under uncultured bacterium. RNAcentral's name for it is "bacterial SSU rRNA". It matches the Rfam family "Bacterial small subunit ribosomal RNA", at positions 367 to 807 of the family's 1533-position model. The record is from RNAcentral.